Molecule: non-coding RNA, 1155 nt
Organism: Paramuricea clavata
Lineage: Eukaryota; Metazoa; Cnidaria; Anthozoa; Malacalcyonacea; Plexauridae
Source: the annotation of a GenBank genome assembly
GAUGGUUAGGCUAGCUGGACCACGUGACAAAUAUGUUAUUGUUCAUUUUUAUUUUUGGUCACGUGACGAGGAAAGGGGGUGCUUUGUGAUGAGUGAUUAGGAAAACAUAUGAGUGAGAACAUAAUAUGCCAACAAAAGAUCAUAUUUCAAAGCGCUAGAGGGCUUCUGAGAUCAAGAUGGAAAUUGAAACAGAAAGCGAACAAACAUACGAACCUAUUACGAACCUAUUUUGAACGUUGGAGAUGAAAAUAUCGAAGAAAGCGAGCGUCGUGAACAGUUUAUGAUCGAGGGGACGAACGCUUUGGUUAUACACCGCGUUUGGAUAAUUGUAUUUUUGCCGUUGUUUUAGUAUGUCAGGAUACGGUUAAACGUUUGAAGUAAUAUUGAACAGUAUGGUUGGCUCUCAUUGUGCUUUGUAUGGCUGUCCGACCAGCAGAACGCGUGAAUUUGCAAUUUUUAAAAUCCCUGUUGAGUGUUGUUGGCGCAGCCGAUGUAGCCUGCGUAGGAGACUACAGCCGAUGGUGAACAAGAAGAGAAAUGCUCGCGAAGAAUGGCUUCGAAUUGUUUUAAAGGACUAGAGAAAAGACGGUAGAUCUUCAGAAACAAAUAAGAUUUUCCUUUGUGAGCGUCAUUUGAAGCCAUUGUAAAUUUUGCAUUUUAUGCAUGCGCUUGUGUGAUCAGAUGUAAACAAAGAGGGCAUUGUAUUUGCAUAUUUACAUAUCCCAUGUCUAUUAAAUAUCUAUCUUCUGUAGACCCCAAACGAAAGAUUUUAUAACUGGUAGCGUACCACUGAAAAUUUACCUACAAUAAACACGAAGUUCCCAAGGCUGAGCGUCGCAUUCUCAGCGUAUAAAUACCAGAUAAACAACCUACAAGCUUCGAAUUACACACGUUAGUUCAGUGGCUGGCGAGGUGGCUGGUGUGUCCAGUAUUGAAAUUAAAACUGAUGGCAGAUUUAGAUAAUAUGCAAAUAUGGAAAGUAGAAGAAAUUCAAGAUAACCUAGGAGGUCCAAGGCUCAAAAAGCAAUUUAAAAUGCAAAAAAAUCUUUAAGUUUUUCACUAUCAUAUGAAAAUGGUCUAUGCUUGUUUAAGUUGUUUUGUUCCAAAAGUGGUAUAUUGCAUGUAAAUAUUUUUUGUGGUCACUCGAUUUUCAUA